This 397-nucleotide ribosomal RNA is filed under the name uncultured bacterium. RNAcentral's name for it is "partial 16S ribosomal RNA". It matches the Rfam family "Bacterial small subunit ribosomal RNA", at positions 523 to 918 of the family's 1533-position model. The record is from RNAcentral.
AUACGUAGGGGGCGAGCGUUGUCCGGAAUGAUUGGGCGUAAAGGGCGCGUAGGCGGCGCGGUAAGUCUGGAGUGAAAGUCCUGCUUUCAAGGUGGGAAUUGCUUUGGAUACUGCCGCGCUUGAGUGCAGGAGAGGUUAUCGGAAUUCCCGGUGUAGCGGUGAAAUGCGUAGAGAUCGGGAGGAACACCAGUGGCGAAGGCGGGUAACUGGACUGCAACUGACGCUGAGGCGCGAAAGUGUGGGGAGCAAACAGGAUUAGAUACCCUGGUAGUCCACACUGUAAACGAUGAAUGCUAGGUGUAAGAGGUAUCGACCCCUUUUGUGCCGGAGUCAACACAAUAAGCAUUCCGCCUGGGAAGUACGGCCGCAAGGUUGAAACUCAAAUGAAUUGACGGGG